RNAcentral lists this ribosomal RNA (432 nucleotides) under uncultured bacterium. RNAcentral describes it as "partial 16S ribosomal RNA". It matches the Rfam family "Bacterial small subunit ribosomal RNA", at positions 29 to 506 of the family's 1533-position model. The record is from RNAcentral.
AACGAACGCUGGUGGCAUGCCUAACACAUGCAAGUCGAACGAGACCUUCGGGUCUAGUGGCGCACGGGUGCGUAACGCGUGGGAACCUGCCCUUAGGUUCGGAAUAACUCCCCGAAAGGGGUGCUAAUACCGGAUAAUGUCUUCGGACCAAAGAUUUAUCGCCUUUGGAUGGGCCCGCGUUGGAUUAGCUAGUUGGUAGGGUAAAAGCCUACCAAGGCGACGAUCCAUAGCUGGUCUGAGAGGAUGAUCAGCCACACUGGGACUGAGACACGGCCCAGACUCCUACGGGAGGCAGCAGUGGGGAAUAUUGGACAAUGGGCGAAAGCCUGAUCCAGCAAUGCCGCGUGAGUGAUGAAGGCCUUAGGGUUGUAAAGCUCUUUUACCCGGGAUGAUAAUGACAGUACCGGGAGAAUAAGCUCCGGCUAACUCCGU